UACGUAGGGGGCAAGCGUUGUCCGGAAUUAUUGGGCGUAAAGAGCGUGUAGGCGGCCAGGGAGGUCCGUUGUGAAAGUCAGAGGCUCAACCUUUGAAUGUCAGCGGAUACUGCCGGGCUAGAGUCCGGAAGAGGCGAGUGGAAUUCCUGGUGUAGCGGUGGAAUGCGCAGAUAUCAGGAGGAACACCGGCGGCGAAGGCGGGUCUCUGGGCCGAUACUGACGCUGAGGAGCGAAAGUGUGGGGAGCGAACAGG
Molecule: ribosomal RNA, 253 nt
Filed under: uncultured bacterium
Lineage: Bacteria
Description: partial 16S ribosomal RNA
Rfam family: Bacterial small subunit ribosomal RNA
Source: RNAcentral